This 789-nucleotide long non-coding RNA is filed under the name Toxoplasma gondii VEG. Lineage: Eukaryota; Apicomplexa; Conoidasida; Eucoccidiorida; Sarcocystidae. The record is from RNAcentral.
GAAACCUGCUGAAGCCGACGCCCCCUUCUCCGGCACUUGCUUCGGAAGGUGAGGAGGAAAUAGGCAAGGAGAGGAGGGACUCAGAAAGCGGGAAGACCGGGAUAACACCGACAGCGGCUGAGCUGGCUCGUGCUCGUUCAUGUCAGGCCCCAAGUGCUGCUGUUGCAGCUGAAGCAGCUGCAUAUGGAGAAGAUCACCUGCUAGUGCCUCUUCGUAUUUCGGGGCAUCGGAAACAAGACUUGCAGUUGGCAUGUCCUCGCGCACCUGGUUGUCAUACUGAAGCCUUGGGCGUGGGAGAGAAAGUCGUGGUAGCGUGGGAACAUCCAGUCGACUGGGGCUCUCUCCACUGUAUACGUGCCGCCCUUGUGCAGAAUACCUAUCAGGAAAAGGAUGCCGACGGUCACCCGGGCUCAACCUGCGCCCCAUGUCGCCACGGCUUUGCUGUCGUGUCUCUCUCAAUCUUCUCAGUGCUUCGUUCACCUCGGAAAUCGUGCUGCCGUCUUGUUGCGUGCCAGAGGAUACCGACACCAAUGACGGCAAUGCAGGGUGGGAACUGCACAAUUUAAAGCGUUGAUCACCUAAGCCGCCGUGUCCUCGUUCCCGACCCUGGUAGAGUUGUUGUCGGUGAGGAGAACUUGCGUUAUGAUGCAACCCUGAUGGCAGCGAGGGUGGACGACUUAACGAGAACGCGGUUAUUUUUGUCGGACGCUGUCCCGGGGAACACGAUGAAGGAUCUGGCUGAUAUGCUGCAUCAUGAACAACGAGUUGGCGAUCGCCGUGACUGCAGAG